AUACGUAGGUGACAAGCGUUAUCCGGAUUUACUGGGCGUAAAGGGCGUGUAGGCGGUCUUGCAAGUCAGAAGUGAAAUUCCUGAGCUCAACUCGGGCGCUGCUUCUGAAACUGCAGGACUUGAGUGCUGGAGGGGAUAGCGGAAUUCCUAGUGGAGCGGUAAAAUGCGCAGAUAUUAGGAAGAACACCGGUGGCGAAGGCGGCUACGUGGACAAUAACUGACGAUGCGGCGGGAAAACGUGGGGAACAAAAAGGAAUAGAGUCCCUGGUGGUCCACGCCGUAAACGAUGAAUACUAAGUGUAGGAGGUAUCGACUCCCUCUGUGACGCAGUUAACACAAUAAGUAUUCCGCCUGGGGAGUACGGCCGCAAGGUUGAAACUCAAAUGAAUUGACGGGG
RNAcentral lists this ribosomal RNA (397 nucleotides) under uncultured bacterium. RNAcentral describes it as "partial 16S ribosomal RNA". It matches the Rfam family "Bacterial small subunit ribosomal RNA", at positions 523 to 918 of the family's 1533-position model. The record is from RNAcentral.